RNAcentral lists this ribosomal RNA (253 nucleotides) under uncultured bacterium. RNAcentral's name for it is "partial 16S ribosomal RNA". It matches the Rfam family "Bacterial small subunit ribosomal RNA", at positions 524 to 776 of the family's 1533-position model. The record is from RNAcentral.
UACAGAGGGUGCGAGCGUUGUCCGGAAUCACUGGGCGUAAAGGGCGCGUAGGUGGCGCGACAAGUCAGUGGUGAAAGCUCGACGCUCAACGUCGAGUCGGCCACUGAGACUGUUGGGCUUGAGCACUGUAGAGGCUAAUGGAAUUCCGGGUGUAGCGGUGGAAUGCGUAGAGAUCCGGAAGAACACCGGUGGCGAAGGCGGUUAGCUGGGCAGUUGCUGACACUGAGGCGCGAAAGCUAGGGGAGCGAACGGG